CCAAUUCCGGAUCUCAGAUCRAGCAAGAGG
This 30-nucleotide ribosomal RNA is filed under the name Fragilariopsis nana. RNAcentral describes it as "partial 28S ribosomal RNA". The record is from RNAcentral. Lineage: Eukaryota; Bacillariophyta; Bacillariophyceae; Bacillariales; Bacillariaceae.